Molecule: ribosomal RNA, 774 nt
Filed under: uncultured Neocallimastigales
Lineage: Eukaryota; Fungi; Neocallimastigomycota; Neocallimastigomycetes; Neocallimastigales
Description: partial large subunit ribosomal RNA
Rfam family: Eukaryotic large subunit ribosomal RNA
Source: RNAcentral
AGAGAGAGACAUGCGCGCAUAUCAAUAAGCGGAGGAAAAGAAACUAACUAGGAUUCCCUCAGUAACGGCGAGUGAAGCGGGAAGAGCUCAAAUUUGAAAUCUUAAAGGGUUUCCCUUGACGAAUUGUAGUUUAAAGAAGUGUUUUCUGUUGGAGGUUUUGGUAAAAGUUCUUUGGAAUAGGACAUCAUAGAGGGUGAGAAUCCCGUAUUUGACCUUUACUUUCAACUUUGUGAUACACUUUCAAAGAGUCGGAUUGUUUGGGAAUGCAGUCCAAAAUGGGUGGUAAAUUUCAUCUAAAGCUAAAUAUUGGCGAGGGACCGAUAGCGAACAAGUACCGUGAGGGAAAGAUGAAAAGAACUUUGAAAAGAGAGUUAAACAGUACGUGAAAUUGUCAAAAGGGAAGCGUUUGACACCAGUGUUGUUUUCUCGAAAAUCAAUUAAAAAAGGCAGGAUUUUGUGUUGUAUUGACUUUAUCAGCUUUCUGCACUCUUUUCUUGUCUUUUCUAAUGCACUUUUCGUUUAACAAGUCAACAUCAAUUUCUUUUGUUGUAAAAGGGUCAUUGGAAGGUGGCUUUCUUUUCGGAGAAAGUGUUUAUAGCCUUUGGCCUCUGCAAUCGGAGAGAUUGAGGUCUGCAGCGUAGAUCCUUCGGGGUUAGAUACAUUUGUGCUAAGUUAUAGCCUUUCAUAGACAACUUGUUGACUAUGAUCAGUCAUGUAGCUUACUCGCUUAUGCUAUUUUACCUACGCUUAGGAUGUUGAUGUGAUACUGCGAGC